Molecule: unclassified non-coding RNA, 342 nt
Filed under: Chytridiomycota sp.
Lineage: Eukaryota; Fungi; Chytridiomycota
Description: partial contains small subunit ribosomal RNA, internal transcribed spacer 1, and 5.8S ribosomal RNA
Rfam family: Eukaryotic small subunit ribosomal RNA (bases 1-47)
Source: RNAcentral
AAAGUCGUAACAAGGUAACCGUAGGUGAACCUGCGGUUGGAUCAUUACAAAGAUUCAAUACGGUUGAGUUCAUUAAAUUCUGCCAAUUCAUUGGCAGGAGAACUCCCGUAACAAUACCCACAUUCUGUGCAUUGUACAAUGUCCCUGGUGGAGGGGAAGCAAGUGGCGAUCCCAUUUCUUUCCAUGCUAAACACUUGCCUGCUUUGCAGGUUGUGUUUGAUAAGGCACUCCACCAGACUUGUUUUUGUUAAACUUUUGUUAUUACAUUCAAAUUUGUCUGAUAUCAAAGUAUUUGUAGUAUAAAUAUACAAACAACUUUUGGCAACGGAUCUCUUGGUUCUC